AUGGCCGCAGCUAAAUGAGCCUCA
This 24-nucleotide non-coding RNA is filed under the name Arabidopsis thaliana (thale cress). Lineage: Eukaryota; Viridiplantae; Streptophyta; Magnoliopsida; Brassicales; Brassicaceae. The record is from RNAcentral.